AAUUUAGCAAUGCCUGAAUGUCAUCCCCAGAGAUUCUGAUUCAGUUGAUCCGAAGUGGGACCUGGACAUCUGUAUUUCUUUCAGUUCCCCACGUCAUGCAGCCAAGGUUGGGGACCACUGCUCUAUACUUUCCUGUUCAAGGUGAAGUCUAUGGACCAGCAGCAUCAACGUCACCUGGGAGCUUGUUAGAAAAGCAGGAUCUCUGGUUCCAUCCCAGACCUGUGAAUUCAACUCUGCAUGAAAGGAAUGCAGUCUUACUUGAUGUUUCAGAGGGCAAUUCAAGGUCUUGUCAUCUGUCAAGAUCAUCAAUGUGGUCUUCAAUUUGAAUGUGGCUCAUGAACGUACUAAACAAGAGAUUCCAAGCUGACAGAUGCUAAAAACGAUGAAUUUCCACUUUCCCUUUUUAGAGGUACCUAAUGGGUGGAAGCAUAUCAUGCACUUUUCUGUACCUUGAUGCUUUUCACUUAAGUAAUUUUGGAGAUUCUUCCAGAACAGAACAUGUAGGUCAACCUCAUUUUCAAUGCUGCGUAGUAUUCCAGGUGUGGGUGCAGUUA
Non-coding RNA from Ceratotherium simum simum (southern white rhinoceros), 554 nucleotides. Lineage: Eukaryota; Metazoa; Chordata; Mammalia; Perissodactyla; Rhinocerotidae. The record is from RefSeq and is a predicted model, not a curated record.